AAUAAAAUAAAGGUGAUUCUGCAUGAUAUGCAGGCACCACCAAAACGUGGAUAGACGCAGCAUUACAACCUCUUUCUGGGACAUCCCUGAAGGAAGGGAAGUCUUCCUCAUGUGCAGCACUUCUUAGUGCACCUGGUUGCCUACUUUGUUUGGAGGGUAAUCACCAGAUGUGCUACUGUUUCAUGGGCUGGAUGGUCAGGGACUUAGAAGGAACAUAAUUACAAAAUGGAUGACAAAGAGAUUUGGGGAACAGGUAUGUGGAUAUACUUCUCUGAAUGGACAAAGAAUAUGAAGAGAUAUGUGUCCCAUGUGAGUGCUCACCAAAGAGUGACUUCAGCAAAGACUUUAAUAAUAAAGUGGAUUAUCUUACUUGUUCUGUGAUGCUAGUCAGCCUCUUUCCCCAGCCACCCCUGUCAUUGCCGCAGAGGGCUCAUGAGCAAAGUGUCCAUGGUGACAUGAAUGAAGAUUCAGGGCUCAGCAACAGGGGGACUUCUCACAAAGGCUGACCUGGCUGUGGCCACCUGUGAGUGCCCAAUCUGAGACCAACACUGAGCCCCUAUCUCUCACCAUUCCCCAGGGCUAUCAGCCAGUGAUCUGAUUCCACCAUCGUGGUAUUCCACAAAGCAUUGCUUCUGACCAAGGAACUCACUUUUCAGUCAAAGAAGUGUGGCAGUCAGCCCAUGCUCAUGGAUUUUACUGGUCCUACCACAUUCCCCAUCACCCUGAAGCAGCUGGCUUGAUAGAACCGUGAAAUGAAUGGCUUUUGAAGAUGUAGCUGCAGCACUAGCUAGGUGAGAAUACCUUGUAGUGCUGAAGCAAGGCUCCCCAGAAGGCUGUGUAUGCUCUGAAUCAGCAUCCAAUAUAUGGUAGUACUAUUUGUCCCAUAUCUAUGACUCACCAGUCUAAGAAUCAGGGAUGGAAAUGGGAGUGACACUACUCACCAUUACUCCUAGUGACCCCCUAGCAAAACUUUUUCUUUCCAUCUGUUGUCCUAAGGGUCUUAAUUCCAGAGGCAUGACUGUUUCCACCAGGGCACACAACAAUGAUUCCAGUGAACCUGAAAUUAAGACUGCCAAGCAACCACUUUGGGCAAUUCAUGCGUCUGAGUCAACAGGCUAAGAAGGCUGGUGCAGUGUUGGCUGGGGUGAUCGAUCUGGACCACCAAAAGAAAAUUGGACUAUCACUCCACAACAGAGGACAUUACCUGUUGAUUCUUGGGCAAGGUCAAGAAUUUGGUGGACAUACUUAAAGAAGAAAGGAAUCUUCAGCUAAAAUGUCUAUGAUCCGUUCAGAUUUGGAGGGCAUGGAUCUUCUGACAGCAGGGGCCAUUCUAGGAUUUUUUGGUUGAAGAGAUGAACUUCGAUUUGGUUCCAGAUGGGUGGUCCAGCUACUCUUCUGGCAACAGUUUUCAGGGCAAGGCUUUUGCUACUGGAAUGAUUUAAGGAAGAUCCCUCAAUGUUUCAGAGUAAAGAUAUUUCUAAAGAAGUACCUGUGUCAUUGUCCAUCUUGAAGAUUGACUUUUAUGGUUGCUCAAAUACUGAUAUCAGCUCAAUGUCAAUAUAUACUCUUACAUAUGAAAUCCACCUAAGAUGCUAGUGCAAGUUAAAGUUAAGAACUUUAACUUAAAGGAGAUGACCCUAACAGCCUUCUUAGUGUACCAGGGAGACCAGAUGGAGUUUAAACUAUGUUGACCCUGCACUCAGACAUGCCAAGUGUAUCUGGGAGAUCAGUAGAUUGUGUUCAAUAAGAAUCUACUUAAAUAAUGGAGCUAUUAAUUUGAAUUACUUUGGUUGUAAAUUUUUUAAAAAGUCUAACUUAAAAUUUUUAAAGGGGGUUGGGAGAGAAUGUGAUGACUGUUACAGUUAAUGUGAGCUUUAGUUUGACUGGAUACAAGUACUAAAACAAUGUUAUUAGAUAAUAAAUCUAAUUAAAUCUAAUCUAAAUUUCCAUCUCACCUCUGCUUAACUCUCUGUUGGCUUUAUUCUUGGACUCCAAGUUAAUGGCAAAAUAAGCAUCCAUCAUAUUCUCCAUUCUACCAGCUUCAGGUCUAGUGGAAAGAAAUGAGAAAUAAGCUCAUUUUUAAAUUGAGUGAUUGAGCAAUAGAGCUGGGCUUGGAUUUCAUUGAUGUGGUUCUCAUAUCUAUUACUACACUCCCCUGAAACUGUUCUACCCAAAGUCACCAAAGAUUAGGGUGACCAUGCACCUCAGUUUGCCUGAGAUGGUCCCAGUGUGUAUGUGUUACCUGAGCACAACUAUGGAUAACACCCUGCUGUAGUCCUCCUUGAAGAUGGCUCUCAAUUAAUUAUCCUAGCCUCCAAUUGCUCACAUUCUUCUGGGACCCCUUCCAGACUGAGUAGGGCUGACAUGAGUAACCACUUCAGCCUUGCUCUCUCAGUUGCCUGACCUGGGGGAAGACGUUGCCAUGUUGUUAGAAUACUCAAGCUGUCUGUGGGAGGCCCAUGUGGGGAGGCACUGAAGCCCUUGCCAACAGCUAGCACUAACUUUCAACCAUGCGACUGAGUCGCCUUGGAAACAGAUCUCACAGCCCCAGUGAAGCCUUUAGAUGACUGCAGUCCCAGCCAAUAUAUGACUGCCAUCUCAUGAGAGGUGCUGAGCCAGAAUGGUUCUGCAAGGCCACUUCCAAAUUCUAUACCCACCUACACUGUAGGAGAUAAUAAAUGUUUGCUGUGUUAACACAGCGCUGAGCUUUGGGGGUAAUUUUUUAUACAGAAAUAGAUUAGUAAUACAUAUCCUCUUUUACUCUUAAAAGUGUCCCAGUUUAGAAAAUAAACUAAUUGUUCACCUAUC
This is a long non-coding RNA of Callithrix jacchus (white-tufted-ear marmoset), 2808 nucleotides long. RefSeq lists it as uncharacterized. The record is from RefSeq and is a predicted model, not a curated record. Lineage: Eukaryota; Metazoa; Chordata; Mammalia; Primates; Cebidae.